AAUCUAUGCUUCCAACUGCAAUUGUUGUAUAUGCGCAUGCAUACACACAUAAAUGUAUUCAUUUCUAAUUAUAGUAGUUGGAAAGGGUUACAAAUGUCUUGGUUAAGUAGUGAGUUGCAUCAGAGUAAGCUCUUCUGCUCCGUCACAUUCCUGCGGCACUGAUCAACAACUCCGCGCCAUGACAGGCUUUUUCUUUCGCUUUCAGCAACAAAACGCCUGGCCGACCGUCUGUUACGUGUUAUUAUCUGGAUAUUGUCGUGUUCUCUCGGAAUGUACCAGAACUGGAACGAGGCAGAAACUGCACGUCAGUGGGCGGAGCUUUGACCUCAUGCUCCUGCAGUGGUGGAUACGUGCAGGACGAGAUGAAAACACGAGCGCUGUAAAGUUCAUCAAGCAUUGGCGCCUUCAAGCUGAUUCAAUGCGGGAAAGGUUUAGGCGCUUCAGCAGAAGUGUGAAGAAAUCUUCAUUGUGUGUGUAUGUAGCUGACUCCUCAGAAAACCUACACAUCCUUGAUGUAACAGAAGAGGACUACAGAAUUCCCAAAGAGAUCAGUCCAAGCACACACACACACACACACUUGUCUGUCUUUCUCUCCCUCUCCAAACACACACGUGAUCUCACACUCCACUGUCAUUGCACACACAAACACCUCUCUUUCUCCACUUUCCUCACUUUUCCUCCCCCAACAAAAACGUCACAUAUGUUCUUGCACUGUACAUACAAAUGCAGAUUAGUUCUCUUAAACAGAACAACCAGACAUACUCUUCCUAACACGCCCAUAGAACCUCACCAAUCAGAUCCCACCCUCUUUGGGAUGUACAUGUGCAUGCUGCUGUUAUUGACUCUGUUAUACAUUCCUACCCAAUGAACAGUUAGAAUACCAUUUGGACCCUUUUGCGAAGGCCCCACUCUGUCAACCUAGAGUACUCUCUGCUCCUCCUCUAUCACGUGGCUUGUUUUCAACAUAACUUGGCAUUUCAUCAUGUGCUGCUUUCCUCCUAGCCUUACUCUGAACCUUGCGUAAUCUUUAGGGCUGUUUUCAUGGCUGAAUAUAUAAGCCAAAUACACUGGGAGAAAAUAAAGCCUGAGCCAUUGAAGAACAUUAUAUAUUACUAUUGACACAACCUUGUGAGUUAAGGAUAAGAAAGUUUCACUGUUUCUGUGACAGUAUACAUUGUAUGGAACCUGAAAUGACUCGGGUAUAAAAACUGCCAUGU
Cyprinus carpio carpio is the source of this 1217-nucleotide long non-coding RNA. The record is from Ensembl. Lineage: Eukaryota; Metazoa; Chordata; Actinopteri; Cypriniformes; Cyprinidae.